UAUGAUUUCGACCUCAUGAGGUCGAUUGUUUUUUGUACAAAUAAUAAAUGAAAAAAAAUCAUUUUGCACAAAAGUAAAUUAUAUAAAUAUAAAAUAAUUAAUUAAAAAAUUUAAAAAAAAAAACAAAUUUCGACCGCAUGAGGUCGAAAAUUUUAAUUCAAAUCUGGUCAAAUCUGGCUUAAUUGUUUUGACCACAUGCGGUCGAAAAAUUUCAAUAAAUAAUACACCCACACAGGCGGAUGAAAAUAUUUCAUCUCCCCCCAAAACUUUCUCUUCUCUUUCAAAAACAUUUACCCUCUCUAAACUCAUCUUCCCCAAAUUUCCCACCACCCCACCAACACCGGUGUUGUCCAAGUAGGCGACGCCGUCUAGUUAAACCACUGGAGUAGCCACAAGCCGCCGCCGACUGAACAGCGAGCUGGAUGGUGUGUGAUAAUUGGGGUAACGUAGACGACCUUCCCAUGGUAGACGAUGUAGGUCACAGGCCAACGUAGAUCAUGGUUUUGUGGAUGAGGAUAGUGAGGAGGAUUCGGAUCAUAUCUCUAACACCCAGCGUUGACUUUUUGAUUCGUAUACUUUUGGAUUCUAAUUUUGCUAUGUUUUCUUGGAUAUGUAUAUGAUAUUUAAGUGUUUGAAUGUAGUAUUAAUUCGAAUUAGAAGUACUUUGAAGGUGAAUUUGAUUGUAGAAUGUAGUUUAUGGUUGUUUAAAUUUAUGAUGUUUAAGUGUAUCAAUGUAGUUGUAAUUUGAAUUAGAAGUACUUUAAAUUGGAAUUUGAGGUUGAAUUUGAUUGUAGAAGUAUUUUGAUGAAUUGGAUGUGUUGAUGAAUUGCA
Molecule: long non-coding RNA, 831 nt
Organism: Lycium barbarum (goji berry)
Lineage: Eukaryota; Viridiplantae; Streptophyta; Magnoliopsida; Solanales; Solanaceae
Exons: 2
Source: RefSeq, a predicted model, not a curated record